Molecule: ribosomal RNA, 371 nt
Filed under: uncultured bacterium
Lineage: Bacteria
Description: bacterial SSU rRNA
Rfam family: Bacterial small subunit ribosomal RNA
Source: RNAcentral
GUAGGGGCCGAGCGUUGUCCGGAAUUACUGGGCGUAAAGCGCGCGCAGGCGGCUGAUCAAGCCUGACGUGAAAGCCCCCGGCUCAACCGGGGAGGGUCGUCGGGGACUGGUUGGCUUGAGGGCGGUAGGGGCCGGUGGAAUUCCCGGUGUAGUGGUGAAAUGCGUAGAGAUCGGGAGGAACACCAGAGGCGAAGGCGGCCGGCUGGGCCGACCCUGACGCUGAGGCGCGAAGGCGUGGGGAGCGAACGGGAUUAGAUACCCCGGUAGUCCACGCAGUAAACGAUGCAGACUAGGCGUGGGGGGACUUGACCCCCUCCGUGCCGCAGCCAACGCGAGAAGUCUGCCGCCUGGGGAGUACGGCCGCAAGGCUA